GACGAACGCUGGCGGCGUGCCUAAUACAUGCAAGUCGAGCGGAGUUUGAAAGGGAGCUUGCUUCCUUUCAAACUUAGCGGCGGACAGGUGAGUAACACGUAGGCAACCUGCCCUCAAGCCUGGGAUAACUACCGGAAACGGUAGCUAAUACCGGAUAAUUCCUUUUUUCUCCUGAGGAGAGAAUGAAAGGCGGAGCAAUCUGCUGCUUGGAGAUGGGCCUGCGGCGCAUUAGCUAGUUGGUGGGGUAAUGGCCCACCAAGGCGACGAUGCGUAGCCGACCUGAGGGGGUGAACGGCCACACUGGGACUGAGACACGGCCCAG
Molecule: ribosomal RNA, 322 nt
Filed under: uncultured bacterium
Lineage: Bacteria
Description: bacterial SSU rRNA
Rfam family: Bacterial small subunit ribosomal RNA
Source: RNAcentral